GUCUCCUUCUCCAGCCUCCCUCCCCAAGUUUGCUAAGGGUGCUUAUUUUAACCCGGUUUUGGUUACAAACACCCCCUCCCUCCCUCGCUCGCUCUCUCCCGUCAGGCUCUGGUUACCAGAUCCGCGUUUACUUUCGAAAAAUCUAAGAUCGCCACAUCCGAGGACACAUGUCUUAAGGAGGCGAUGAGCUUUCCGGGUUUUUUUGUAAAAAAUGUUCUUUAUGUAGUUUUCUUUUAAAAGCCAGCGUUUCGGAGCAAGCCCCGGCGCCCCACUUUGGAGAAGUCGGGGUGAAGCCCCCCGGAACACCCUCGCUCUGGCAGAGAAGCUGGCUCUGGCUCGGCCAUCUGCGGGCUCCGCCGCGUCCUCCCUACUUUUCUCCCCCUCUUAAAUGCAGUUAAAAUGGCUGAAUUCCGGCUUUUAAUUAAAAACAGCCUAUAAUCGAAAACGUCUCGGCGUCCCUGGCUCCCCCGCCGCCUGCCGGGAACCGAGAAGGGAACCGACGCCCCUCGGCCCGGCUGGGAGGGCUGGAGCGGGGCUGGGAACUCAGGUGGGCGCCCGGGGCGCAGUGGCCUGCCCCCACCCCUCCCGGGGCGCCCCCAUCUCGCCGGCCCCGGUCCCCGAUUCCGUUCUCGGCGGCCGGGAAACUGCGGGGAUGCCCCGGCGCCCCCGGAGGGGGAGGCGGGAUCGGGGACGAGCUGGAGAAGUUUGGAGACCAUCGCGCCCGGCCAGGGAUGGGAGGGCGGCCCGGCGGCGUACCUGGCGCGGCGGGGCUCCCGGCUCCGGGCUCCGGCGACGGCGACUCCGGUGGCGGCCCCGGCUCCCGGCGCGGUUAGGCGCCCGUGCUGCCCGCCAUCCCGCGGCCGCUGCUCCCCUUCGCCACCCGCAGCCGCCUCACACUUUUUGCCCGCCUUUCCUUUUUUUGGUAGAAAACCGCUCCCCGGGCCGAGCGCUCGGCGCGCCAACUCCUCCGCCCUCCCGCGGCCGGGCUCCCGCAGCCCCCGGAAAAGCCAGCUUUCCUCCCGCCGAGCUCCCCGCUUUUUAAUAAAAUCCAGGUAGCGCCGGUUUAAAGAAUCCCAAAUCUCCAUAUACAGCCCGGGAUUGGAAAAGGUACAUUACACACACCCCCCUUUCAAGUUCCUCUCGCUGGAUCUAAAAAAAAAAAAAAAAAAGCCAGCGGGGGGGGGAGGGGGCGGCUGGGGGAGGGGAGUACUCUCCGGCGAUGAAACACGCAUUGUUCCCGGGCGCCCGCCUCCCCCCGGGCCGGCCCCCGGCCCCCGCCCAUUGGCCGCGCGCGCCGCCAAUCACGCGCAUGUAAACACCUUGGCCCUCAGCCAUUCCUAUAAAACCAAUUACGGACCAAGGGGCUCCAGCAGUUUCCAGGCUCCCCUCGGCGGGGCUGAAUGAUCAAAACUGGUGGUGAGAAUUUUUCCGGGCCGUUUCUAGGCAGCCCUCCCCCUCCACCAACUCGGACCCCCCCCCCCUUCCUCCUUCUCCUCCCUUUUCCUCCCCUCCUCCCCCAGCGUCUGGGCUGAGUGAUCAAAAUAGAGGAAGAUGGUUGUCGCCGCAAUCCAGGGCUUUGCAAGGCGCGGUUUAAUGGGCCGCCUGUCAGCUUCCUGCUCGCAGGAGGAGGUGACAAGCCAAGCGGGCCGGGAAGGGCCUGGGGCCCGGCGGGCUGCACCCCACGCCCGGGCCCCGGCCCCCCACCUCCCCUGGGGCGCGCCUCCUAGAACGCGCGGUGGAGACGCGAAAACAGACAAGGGCUGCUUUUUCCCUUUCUCCCCCCCCCCCCCUUUUAAAACAAAGCAGCGAUUCAUUCCCGCUUCCCGAGCAGCGCGGUUGGGUGGGACGGGCAGGCGAGAAGGCCGUUUUCCUAGUCCCGGCCUGCGGGUCCCUCCCUGAAACGCGGUGUCAGAUGGUUACUGAUUAAUAUUUUGGAGAGGCCGCGGCGGCGGGCAGCGGAUCUGGAGGCUGGAAGCCCAAGAUCAAGGCGCCGGCAGGUUCCACGGCUGCACAGGAAUUAUUCAAGGCUGGUUUCGGUUCUCUUCUGGCGACGACCGCAUCUUCGUACUCAAGGCACAGAUUACGGGUCAGCUCAAUUCGCCAGCGGCCGGAGGCUGCCUCCAAGCACCGAGCAGGACGGGAGGGAUGCUCUGCAAGCCGCGUCCGGCUGGAGGCGGCGGAGGCCUGAACGGGUCAUGGUCCCCGAAGUCACUAGGGACAGGGGACGUGGAUGGAAUAUAAGAGGGGAGAUCGACAGUCAAUCCCACCUCUGUCCCUUUCCGCCUGUGACCCCGGUCAGCUCAGUCUUCUCAUCUGUGACAUGGGCGUUGACACGAGUGUUCAGCAUGGGAACCCACCCCCGUCGUCUUCCACUGGUGCUGUCACCCGCGGCCUGGCUGAGCCGGGCACAGUGGGAGCCUCUGCAGGGCCCAGGGAAGGGGCAUGGCGGUGCCGAAGGACACGAGAAAUGGAAAGAGAGGGUUCAGCCACUCUGGCCUCCCAGGGGCGGCGAUGUGAGAACACGGCCCCAAGAUCCUUUGACGCUCCUCCUGUGGAAAGGUGGGGUUCCCGUUCCCUCCCCUUGAUGCUGGCCUCCAUGGCAGAAGGUGACGGAGUCGACAGUCCUCCCAGAACUGCCAGCUCCUGCUUUUUGCCUCUUGGGUGCUCCCUCUUGGAACCCAGCCGCCAUGCUGCGAGGAAGCCCAGAGGUCCCGAGGACAGGCCCGCGUGGAAGGCCCGGUUGUGCGUGUGUGUGUGUGUGUGUGAGCUCCUCAGAAAAGGGCAUCCAGCCCCAGUAGGUGCCCCAGCAGACGCCACGUGGAGCGGGGGUGAGCUGACCCUGCCAAGAUCGGCCCAAAUUGCAGAUUCACAAGCAAAUAAAUAAUUGUCGUCAUUGUGAGCCAGGAGCAUUGGGGUGGUGUGUUACACGGCAAUAGGUGACUAAAA
RNAcentral lists this long non-coding RNA (2946 nucleotides) under Equus asinus (donkey). RNAcentral describes it as "lncRNA (ENSEASG00005034158.1)". Lineage: Eukaryota; Metazoa; Chordata; Mammalia; Perissodactyla; Equidae. The record is from RNAcentral.